UGAUCUCAAACUUGUUUGGAGUUUCGGAUUCUUGGUGCAUUCUGGGAAGAAAGUGCCUAGGGUCAGCGCAACGUAACAAAGGGAACAGCCUCAAAAAAGUGGGCUUCAGAUACCAGCAAUUGCUUAGGGCACACAUAGUUCCUUUUGGCGUCUUAUCUUCUGAAGCUGCCUCAAGGCCAAGCAAAGAAAGUUGUUAAAAAGUUAAGUUACUUUUCACAGCCUGCAAACCCUUCAAAGGUCCACCAAGUGAAGAUUGGAGGAUGUAUUUGUUUCUUCUACUCAACAACAAUUGAUAAAGCAUGAGUUCCAUCAAGGACUGUGUUCUAGGUGGAGAAAGGGUGACUCACCCAGUCAUUGGAUCUCUUUCACUUCCAGUCUCUGGAAGGCAGAUAUCUUUAUAAAAUAUGCAGACAGCUAGGCUCUAAACACUGGACAAGAGGUCUGUAAUCAUCCAGUCACAUCUCAGGUCAGAGGGUCUUGGACUGCUUAAGAAAGAGCUGACCAUUGUCUUAAGAACCUGGGGUGGCCUAGAGCCAUCUUGAGGUGAUUUUAUCAGCCCCAUCAGGAUAAUUCUCCUCAGCUUCCUUGCAUGAAUAGUGUAACUGGUGCUACUACUUUUGUUUUUAGUCACUUUUCCUAGCCUGCACUUCCCUUCCCGGCCCUCCUUUUUCCUCUGUAGCCAAGUCAUCACUUCUCUUUACCUAAAUGAGUUUUGGAAUCCAGGGGAUAAAACGAAAAGAUAGGCAGGGCGCUGUGGCUCACACCUGUAAUCCCACCACUUUGGGAGGCCGAGGUGGGUGGAUCACCUGAGGUCAGGAGUUUGAGACCAGCCUGACCAAUAUGGUGAAACCCCAUCUCUACUAAAAAUACAAAAAUUAGCCGGGCGUGGUGGCGUGUGACUGUAGUCCCAGCUACUUGGGAGGCUGAGACAGGAGGGUUGCUUGAACCUGGGAGACAGAGGUUGCAGAAAGCUGAGAUCGUGCCAUUGCACUCCAGCCUGGGUGACAGAGCAAGACUCUGUCUCAAAAACAAAAACAAAAAAACGGAAAGAUAAUUCCUUGAGCACAAGCUUCACUCUCCUUAUUCUCAACAUCUGUGUCUGUAUUAUUCUUUACAGUUUAUGAAACACUUAUUUAAUCUCACUUAAUGCCCAAACUAGUGAUGUUAGUUAUUUUUUUUAAAAAGUCAAGAUCACUUAACACAUCCAAAUAUAACAAAGUUAAAAGGCAUAAAACUGGGUACCCAACAUAAAUUAUCUGAUUAUAAAUCAAGUGGUCUCUGGGAAAUCUUGUCAUUUCAGAAGGUCAGAUGGAUGUGGAGGGCAGAAACUAACCUCAGAUUAUGCCAGGGACGCCAGGGCCUCCUGAACACUGUGGGGGGUUGUGCUCUGAAAUCUACCUCCAGUUUUACAAGAAGCUCUCUUCCAAUCUGUCUGCGCUUUUUUUUUUUUUUUUUUUUUUGCU
Molecule: long non-coding RNA, 1463 nt
Filed under: Homo sapiens (human)
Lineage: Eukaryota; Metazoa; Chordata; Mammalia; Primates; Hominidae
Description: HSALNT0247143
Source: RNAcentral